GGAAUAUUGGGCAAUGGGGGGAACCCUGACCCAGCAACGCCGCGUGAGGGAAGAAGGUUUUCGGAUCGUAAACCUCUGUCCUAUGUGAAGAGGAAGAGACGGUAGCAUAGGAGGAAGCCCCGGCUAACUACGUGCCAGCAGCCGCGGUAAUACGUAGGGGGCGAGCGUUGUCCGGAAUGAUUGGGCGUAAAGGGCGCGUAGGCGGCCUUUUAAGUCUGAAGUGAAAGUCCUGGUUUUAAGUUGGGAAUUGCUUUGGAUACUGGAAGGCUUGAGUGCAGGAGAGGUAAGUGGAAUUCCCAGUGUAGCGGUGAAAUGCGUAGAGAUUGGGAGGAACACCAGUGGCGAAGGCGACUUACUGGACUGUAACUGACGCUGAGGCGCGAAAGUGUGGGGAGCAAACA
This 401-nucleotide ribosomal RNA is filed under the name uncultured bacterium. Its description in RNAcentral is "bacterial SSU rRNA". It matches the Rfam family "Bacterial small subunit ribosomal RNA", at positions 358 to 774 of the family's 1533-position model. The record is from RNAcentral.